This 475-nucleotide ribosomal RNA is filed under the name uncultured bacterium. RNAcentral's name for it is "bacterial SSU rRNA". It matches the Rfam family "Bacterial small subunit ribosomal RNA", at positions 23 to 507 of the family's 1533-position model. The record is from RNAcentral.
CUCAGGAUGAACGCUGGCGGCGUGCUUAACACAUGCAAGUCGAACGAAGCAAUUGGAGUGCUUGCACUUUGAUUGACUGAGUGGCGGACGGGUGAGUAACGCCGUGGGUAACCUGCCUCACACAGGGGGAUAACAGUUGGAAACAGCUGCUAAUACCGCAUAAGCGCACAGUACCGCAUGGUACAGUGUGAAAAACUCCGGUGGUGUGAGAUGGACCCGCGUCUGAUUAGCUAGUUGGUGAGGUAACGGCCCACCGAGGCGACGAUCAGUAGCCGGCCUGAGAGGGUGGACGGCCACAUUGGGACUGAGACACGGCCCAAACUCCUACGGGAGGCAGCAGUGGGGAAUAUUGCACAAUGGGGGAAACCCUGAUGCAGCGACGCCGCGUGAACGAUGAAGUAUUUCGGUAUGUAAAGUUCUAUCAGCAGGGAAGAUAAUGACGGUACCUGACUAAGAAGCACCGGCUAAAUACGUG